AUUGAACGCUGGCGGCAUGCCUUACACAUGCAAGUCGAACGGCAGCACGGGUGCUUGCACCUGGUGGCGAGUGGCGAACGGGUGAGUAAUACAUCGGAACGUACCUUAUCGUGGGGGAUAACGCAGCGAAAGCUGUGCUAAUACCGCAUACGCCCUGAGGGGGAAAGCGGGGGAUCGAAAGACCUCGCGCGAUUAGAGCGGCCGAUGCCUGAUUAGCUGGUUGGUGGGGUAAAAGCCCACCAAGGCGACGAUCAGUAGCUGGUCUGAGAGGAGGAUAAGCAACAGGGGGGUGGGGAGCGGGCGCAGGUCCCUAGGGGAGGAGGAGGGGGGGAAUUGUGGCAAGUGGGGGCAACCCUGACCAAGCAAUGGCGGGUGAGGGAAGAAGUCUUUGGGGUUGGAAAGCUUUUUUGUCAGGAAAAAAACGGAAGCCAAACCACAGUCGGCGAAGGAGGGUCCUUAAAAAAUAAGCACCGGCAAACUACGGGCCACCCGCGCCCGUAA
This 501-nucleotide ribosomal RNA is filed under the name uncultured bacterium. Its description in RNAcentral is "partial 16S ribosomal RNA". It matches the Rfam family "Bacterial small subunit ribosomal RNA", at positions 29 to 523 of the family's 1533-position model. The record is from RNAcentral.